UGGCUGCUUUCAGGUAGAUAUGGUUGGCUCAUUCUAAGCUUAUGAAAACACAUCGGUUCCUUGUUGCAGAUAAUUAUACACUAACGAGCAGAUGGUUAUGAAUGCUAUGUUCCAUUUGUGC
Thalassophryne amazonica is the source of this 121-nucleotide long non-coding RNA. RefSeq lists it as uncharacterized. The record is from RefSeq and is a predicted model, not a curated record. Lineage: Eukaryota; Metazoa; Chordata; Actinopteri; Batrachoidiformes; Batrachoididae. The transcript is spliced from 4 exons.